AGCANUNUACACNGNGACNGUGAAUGGGUCUUUAUCACUUAUCUUUUAUUUGAUAUNACCUUUUUACAUGNANAACCGUGGUAAUUCUAGAGCUAAUACAUGCGAAAAAUCCCGACUUCCGAAGGGAUGUAUUUAUUAUAUUAAAAACCAAUGCCCUUCGGGGCUCUCUGGUGAUUCAUGAUAACUUCUCUAAUCGCACGGCCUUGCGCCGGCGAUGGUUCAUUCAAAUUUCUGCCCUAUCAACUUUCNACGGCUGGGUCUUGGCCAGCCGUGGUGACAACGGGUAACGGAGGGUUAGGGCUCGACCCCGGAGAANGAGCCUGAGAAACGGCUACUACAUCCAAGGAAGGCAGCAGGCGCGCAAAUUACCCAAUCCCGACCCGGGGAGGUAGUGACAAUAAAUACUGAUACAGGGCUCUUUCCGGUCUUGUAAUUGGAAUGAGUACAAUUUAAAUCCCUUAACGAGGAACAAUUGGAGGGCAAGUCUGGUGCCAGCAGCCGCGGNAAUUCCAGCUCCAAUACCGUAUAUUAAAGUUGUUGAGGUUAAAAAGCUCGUAGUUGAACCUUGGGNCUAGCCGGCCGGUCCGCCUCACCGCGUGCACUGGCUCGGCUGGGUCUUUCCUUCUGGAGAACCACCUGCCCUUCACUGGGUGUGCUGGGGAACCANGACUUUUACUCUGAACUAUAUUANCUAUAAAGAAAGCCUAUGCUCGAAUACUACUAGCAUGGAAAUAAUANAAUAAACGUGGGUUCUAUUUUGUUGGUGUUCUANGACCGCCGCAAUGAUUAAUANGGACAGUCGGGGGGCAUCAGUAUUCAAUUGUCANAGGUGAAAUUCUUGGAUUUAUUGAAAACUAANUCUGCUAAAGCAUUUGCCNAGGAUGUUUUUCUUUUUCAACAAAGUUANGGGGAUCGGAAAAAANCAGAAUCCAUCNUAANCCUUANCCAUAAANCUAUGACUNANUNAGGAUCGGGACGGCGGAAUUUUUUUGNCCCNGUNCGGCCCCCUUCCAANAAACAAAAAANUGGNCCCUGGGGGGNAGGUANGGGGCGNAGGGCUGGAAAUUNAGAAAAAAUGACGGGAAAGGNGNCCCNCCCCCUUNUUUGACCNUCAAAC
RNAcentral lists this ribosomal RNA (1117 nucleotides) under uncultured fungus. RNAcentral describes it as "partial 18S ribosomal RNA". It matches the Rfam family "Eukaryotic small subunit ribosomal RNA", at positions 69 to 1116 of the family's 1831-position model. Lineage: Eukaryota; Fungi. The record is from RNAcentral.